AUUGAACGCUGGCGGCAGGCUUAACACAUGCAAGUCGAGCGGGGGAAGGUAGCUUGCUACCGGACCUAGCGGCGGACGGGUGAGUAAUGCUUAGGAAUCUGCCUAUUAGUGGGGGACAACAUCUCGAAAGGGAUGCUAAUACCGCAUACGUCCUACGGGAGAAAGCAGGGGAUCUUCGGACCUUGCGCUAAUAGAUGAGCCUAAGUCGGAUUAGCUAGUAGGUGGGGUAAAGGCCUACCAAGGCGACGAUCUGUAGCGGGUCUGAGAGGAUGAUCCGCCCCACUGGGACUGAGACACGGCCCAGAAUCCUACGGGAGGCAGCAGUGGGGAAUAUUGGACAAUGGGGGGAACCCUGAUCCAGCCAUGCCGCGUGUGUGAAGAAGGCCUUAUGGUUGUAAAGCACUUUAAGCGAGGAGGAGGCUACUUUAGUUAAUACCUAGAGAUAGUGGACGUUACUCGCAGAAUAAGCACCGGCUAACUCUGUGCCAGCCGCCGCCGUAA
This 501-nucleotide ribosomal RNA is filed under the name uncultured bacterium. RNAcentral describes it as "partial 16S ribosomal RNA". It matches the Rfam family "Bacterial small subunit ribosomal RNA", at positions 30 to 523 of the family's 1533-position model. The record is from RNAcentral.